GGGUUGUGAGGUUAAGCGACUAAGCGUACACGGUGGAUGCCCUGGCAGUCAGAGGCGAUGAAGGACGUGCUAAUCUGCGAUAAGCGUCGGUAAGGUGAUAUGAACCGUUAUAACCGGCGAUUUCCGAAUGGGGAAACCCAGUGUGAUUCGUCACACUAUCAUUAACUGAAUCCAUAGGUUAAUGAGGCGAACCGGGGGAACUGAAACAUCUAAGUACCCCGAGGAAAAGAAAUCAACCGAGAUUCCCCCAGUAGCGGCGAGCGAACGGGGAGCAGCCCAGAGCCUGAAUCAGUGUGUGUGUUAGUGGAAGCGUCUGGAAAGGCGCGCGAUACAGGGUGACAGCCCCGUACACAAAAAUGCACAUGCUGUGAGCUCGAUGAGUAGGGCGGGACACGUGGUAUCCUGUCUGAAUAUGGGGGGACCAUCCUCCAAGGCUAAAUACUCCUGACUGACCGAUAGUGAACCAGUACCGUGAGGGAAAGGCGAAAAGAACCCCGGCGAGGGGAGUGAAAAAGAACCUGAAACCGUGUACGUACAAGCAGUGGGAG
Molecule: ribosomal RNA, 548 nt
Filed under: Escherichia coli
Lineage: Bacteria; Pseudomonadati; Pseudomonadota; Gammaproteobacteria; Enterobacterales; Enterobacteriaceae
Description: bacterial LSU rRNA
Rfam family: Bacterial large subunit ribosomal RNA
Source: RNAcentral